UUCCGCGGUUAUAAGGGCGCAUGGUGGAUGCCUUGGGAGCAUAUGGCGAUGAAGGACGUGGCGUAGCUGCGAUAAGCCUCGGGGAGUCGCGUAGCAGACUUUGAUCCGGGGAUUUCCGACUGGGGAAACCCAUACCGAUUCAUCUCGGUAUACGCUGCCGAUUAAUUUCGGCAGUGAGCGCACCCGCUGAAGUAAAACAUUUCAGUAAGCGGAGGAAAAGAAAAAGUUUGAGUACUUUUGAAUUUUGUGGUGACUGAAUUUUGGGCAAAGAAGAGAGCAAGAGGAGCGCUGUGGGACAUUGUCUCUACGGCGCAAAUGCCGCAUGCCGCAGGCCUACGAGCAUCCGGUAACCCUCGCGCCACUUGGGGGUUCGAAUCCCCACUUCUUUCCCAGACCCAGCCGGACUUCCGUCCGGCUGGGCCCCAAAAUUCAGUCACUAUAAAAAACAGAAGUACUUAUCAUUCCCCCAGUAGCGGCGAGCGAACAGGGAAUAGUCCAAACCUUUCUUUAAAUAAGUUUACUUGUUUAAAGGGGGGGGUUGUAGGGCAAGAGUAUCUAUUUAAUUAGAGGAAGGUUACAAAUUGGCGUGUUAGCAGAACGCUCCUGGAAAGGACGGCCAAAGAGGGUAAUAGCCCCGUACGCGAAAAUUCAGCCAACCUUUUUAUUCUUGUUCCUGAGUAGGGCGGGGAACGACAGCCCCGUCUGAAUCCGGCCUGACUACGGGCCAAGACUAAAUACAUAUGCUCACCGAUAGUGAACAAGUACCGUGAGGGAAAGGUUAAAAGCAGCCCGGUGAGGGCGGUGAAAUAGUACCUGAAACCAUGCGUCUACAAGGAGUCGGAGACCUAGCGCGCCGUAAGGCGUGCAGGUCCACGGCGUGCCUUUUGCAAAAUGAGCCAACGAGUUUAUCUACGCUGCUUAUCUAACCCACUAAAGUGGGGGAGAUGCAGGGAAACCAAGUCUUAAUAGGGCGUUACUCACUCUCAAAGAGUUGAGCGUCCCGCUUCGGCGGGGUGAUUAACUUUUUGAAGUGAGUUCGUAGCGUGGAUAAGACCCGAAGCCGGAGCGAGCUACCCAUGGGCAGGAUGAAGGCCGUCGAAAGACGGCUGGAGGUCCGAACUGGUGGGUCGUGUAAUGCCCUCGGAUGACCUGUGGGUAGAAGUGAAAAGCUAAUCGAGCCCGGUAAUAGCUGGUUCUCUCCGAAAUAGUUUUAGGACUAGCCUCGUAGUAAGACGCGCGGAGGUAGAGCACUGGAUGGACUUCUUGGAGUUUUUACUUCGGAAGUCCAAUCAAACUCCGAAUGCCGCGCGUUAAUUCUACGGGAGUCAGAACGUGGGGGCUAAGCUCCAUGUUCGCGAGGGGAUAAGCCCAGACCGCAAUCUAAGGUCCCUAAAUGUUCCCGUCUUUGACGGGACCUGGAGUUCGUCUUCGGACGGACGAAGGGGUGUUAAGUGCAAUCAAAGGAGGUGGAAAUUCUUCAACAACUAGGAGGUUGGCUUAGAGGCAGCCAUCCUUUAAAGAGUGCGUAACAGCUCACUAGUCAAGAGUUUCUGCGCCGACGAUGUACCGGGGCUAAACACACUACCGAAGCUGCGGGUGCGG
This 1602-nucleotide ribosomal RNA is filed under the name bacterium. RNAcentral describes it as "partial 23S ribosomal RNA". It matches the Rfam family "Bacterial large subunit ribosomal RNA", at positions 1 to 1211 of the family's 2925-position model. The record is from RNAcentral.